GCUCGUAGUUGGAUUUCUGGCAUGGGGUCACUGGCCCGGCAUCCUAGUGGUGCUGUGUUGUCGGCUGGCCUCUGCCUUCUUUUCGGAAAAACCAGUCUGCCCUUCACUGGGUUGGGCUGGCGAUUCCGAUCGUUUACUUUGAAAAAAUUAGAGUGUUCAAAGCAGGCUUAAUGCUGCGAAUACAUUAGCAUGGAAUAAUAAGAUAGGACUUUGGUCUUAUUUUGUUGGUUUCUAGGACUGAAGUAAUGAUUGAUAGGGAUAGUUGGGGGUGCUCGUAGUCAGGGGCCAGAGGUGAAAUUCUAUGAUUCCCUGAAGACGAACUUAUGCGAAAGCAUUCACCAAGGAUGUCUUCUUUAAUCAAGAACGAAAGUUGGGGGAUCGAAGACGAUCAGAUACCGUCGUAGUCUCAACCAUAAACGAUGCCGACUCGGGAUCGGUGGACGUUAUCUAAUGACUCCAUCGGCACCGUAUGAGAAGUCAUAAGUCUUUGGGUUCCGGGGGGAGUAUGGUCGCAAGGCUGAAACUUAAAGGAAUUGACGGAAGGGCACACCAGGAGUGGAGCCUGCGGCUUAAGUUGACCCAACACGGGAAAACUUACCAGGUCCAGACAUAGUGAGGAUUGACAGAUUGAAGAUCUUUCUUGAUCCUAUGGGUGGUGGUGCAUGGCCGUUCUUAGUUGGUGGAUUGAUCUGUCUGGUUAAUUCCGAUAACGAACGAGACCUCAGCCUGCUAAAUAGUGGACGUUCGGCUUCUGCCGAGCGGCAAUCGCUUCUUAGAGGGACUAUCGGUGUGU
RNAcentral lists this ribosomal RNA (793 nucleotides) under uncultured Cercozoa. Its description in RNAcentral is "SSU rRNA". It matches the Rfam family "Eukaryotic small subunit ribosomal RNA", at positions 626 to 1431 of the family's 1831-position model. Lineage: Eukaryota; Cercozoa. The record is from RNAcentral.